This 446-nucleotide ribosomal RNA is filed under the name uncultured bacterium. Its description in RNAcentral is "bacterial SSU rRNA". It matches the Rfam family "Bacterial small subunit ribosomal RNA", at positions 331 to 794 of the family's 1533-position model. The record is from RNAcentral.
CCAGACUCCUACGGGAGGCAGCAGUGGGGAAUAUUGCACAAUGGGGGGAACCCUGAUGCAGCGACGCCGCGUGGGUGAAGGAGUACUUCGGCACGUAAAGCCCUAUCAGCAGGAAAGAAAAUGACGGUACCUGAAUAAGAAGCCCCGGCUGACUACGUGCCAGCAGCCGCGGUAAUACGUAGGUGGCAAGCGUUGUCCGGAUUUACUGGGUGUAAAGGGCGGGUAGACGGGCUGACAAGUCAGAUGUGAAAUCCGGGGGCUCAACCCCCGAACUGCAUUUGAAACUGUUGGUCUUGAGUAUCGGAGAGGCAGGCGGAAUUCCUAGUGUAGCGGUGAAAUGCGUAGAUAUUAGGAGGAACACCAGUGGCGAAGGCGGCCUGCUGGACGACAACUGACGGUGAGGCGCGAAAGCGUGGGGAGCAAACAGGAUUAGAUACCCCGGUAUA